RNAcentral lists this ribosomal RNA (460 nucleotides) under uncultured bacterium. RNAcentral's name for it is "partial 16S ribosomal RNA". It matches the Rfam family "Bacterial small subunit ribosomal RNA", at positions 338 to 795 of the family's 1533-position model. The record is from RNAcentral.
CCUACGGGUGGCAGCAGUGAGGAAUAUUGGUCAAUGGACGCAAGUCUGAACCAGCCAUGCCGCGUGCAGGAUGACGGCUCUAUGAGUUGUAAACUGCUUUUGUACGAGGGUAAACCCCGGUACGUGUCUCGGGUUGAAAGUAUCGUACGAAUAAGGAUCGGCUAACUCCGUGCCAGCAGCCGCGGUAAUACGGAGGAUCCGAGCGUUAUCCGGAUUUAUUGGGUUUAAAGGGUGCGUAGGCGGUUUGAUAAGUUAGAGGUGAAAUGUCGGGGCUCAACCCCGAAACUGCCUCUAAUACUGUUAGACUAGAGAAUAGUUGAGGUAGGCGGAAGGUAUGGUGUAGCGGUGAAAUGCUUAGAGAUCAUACAGAACACCGAUUGCGAAGGCAGCUUGCCAACCUAUAUCUGACGCUGAGGCACGAAAGCGUGGGUAGCAAACAGGAUUAGAUACCCCAGUAGUC